RNAcentral lists this ribosomal RNA (409 nucleotides) under uncultured Nitrososphaerota archaeon. RNAcentral describes it as "bacterial SSU rRNA". It matches the Rfam family "Archaeal small subunit ribosomal RNA", at positions 452 to 861 of the family's 1478-position model. Lineage: Archaea; Thermoproteati; Nitrososphaerota. The record is from RNAcentral.
CUGGUGUCAGCCGCCGCGGUAAUACCAACACCCCGAGUGGUCGGGACGAUUAUUGGGCCUAAAGCAUCCGUAGCCGGCCUUACAAGUCCUCCGUUAAAUCCAGCUGCUUAACAGAUGGGCUGCGGAGGAUACUAUAAGACUAGGAGGCAGGAGAGGCAAGCGGUACUCAGUGGGUAGGGGUAAAAUCCGUUGAUCCAUUGAAGACCACCAGUGGCGAAGGCGGCUUGCCAGAAUGCGCUCGACGGUGAGGGAUGAAAGCUGGGGGAGCAAACCGGAUUAGAUACCCGGGUAGUCCCAGCUGUAAACGAUGCAGACCCGGUGAUGGACUAGCUUUAUGCUGGUCCAGUGCCGCAGGGAAGCCGUUAAGUCUGCCGCCUGGGUAGUACGGUCGCAAGACUGAAACUUAAAG